This 194-nucleotide ribosomal RNA is filed under the name uncultured bacterium. RNAcentral's name for it is "partial 16S ribosomal RNA". It matches the Rfam family "Bacterial small subunit ribosomal RNA", at positions 338 to 524 of the family's 1533-position model. The record is from RNAcentral.
CCUACGGGAGGCAGCAGUGGGGAAUUUUGGGCAAUGGGCGCAAGCCUGAUCCAGCAAUGCCGCGUGCAGGAAGAAGGCCUUCGGGUUGUAAACUGCUUUUGUCAGGGAAGAAAUCUUCUGGGCUAAUACCCCGGGAGGAUGACGGUACCUGAAGAAUAAGCACCGGCUAACUACGUGCCAGCAGCCGCGGUAAU